CCAAUAGCGUAUAUUAAAGUUGUUGCAGUUAAAAAGCUCGUAGUUGAAUUUCAGGCCUGGCUGGACGGUCCGCCCUUCGGGUGAGUACUGUCUGUGGUCGGGUCCUACCUUCUGGCGAAGCGUCGUGGCCUUAACCGGCCGUGGCGGGGAACCAGGACUUUUACUGUGAAAAAAUUAGAGUGUUCAAAGCAGGCAAAUCGCUUGGAUACAUUGGCAUGGAAUAAUGGAAUAGGACAAUGGUUCUAUUUGUUGGUUUCUAGGACCGUUGUAAUGAUUAAUAGGGAUAGUUGGGGGCAUUAGUAUUCAAUUGUCAGAGGUGAAAUUCUUGGAUUUAUUGAAGACUAACUACUGCGAAAGCAUUUGCCAAGGAUGUUUUCAUUAAUCAAGAACGAAAGUUAGGGGAUCGAAGACGAUCAGAUACCGUCGUAGUCUUAACCAUAAACUAUGCCGACUAGGAAUCGGGCGAUGUUGAAAAAAUGACGCGCUCGGCACCUCACG
Molecule: unclassified non-coding RNA, 498 nt
Filed under: uncultured Paraglomus
Lineage: Eukaryota; Fungi; Glomeromycota; Glomeromycetes; Paraglomerales; Paraglomeraceae
Description: SSU rRNA
Rfam family: Eukaryotic small subunit ribosomal RNA
Source: RNAcentral